RNAcentral lists this ribosomal RNA (1363 nucleotides) under uncultured bacterium. Its description in RNAcentral is "bacterial SSU rRNA". It matches the Rfam family "Bacterial small subunit ribosomal RNA", at positions 28 to 1387 of the family's 1533-position model. The record is from RNAcentral.
GAUGAACGCUAGCGACAGGCUUAACACAUGCAAGUCGAGGGGCAGCACGAUGUAGCAAUACAUUGGUGGCGACCGGCGCACGGGUGAGUAACGCGUAUGCAACCUACCUAUCAGAGGGGAAUAACCCGGCGAAAGUCGGACUAAUACCGCAUAAAACAGGGGUUCCACAUGGAAAUAUUUGUUAAAGAAUUAUCGCUGAUAGAUGGGCAUGCGUUCCAUUAGAUAGUUGGUGAGGUAACGGCUCACCAAGUCCACGAUGGAUAGGGGUUCUGAGAGGAAGGUCCCCCACACUGGUACUGAGACACGGACCAGACUCCUACGGGAGGCAGCAGUGAGGAAUAUUGGUCAAUGGGCGAGAGCCUGAACCAGCCAAGUCGCGUGAAGGAUGAAGGAUCUAUGGUUUGUAAACUUCUUUUAUAUGGGAAUAAAGUGAGGAACGUGUUCCUUUUUGUAUGUACCAUAUGAAUAAGCAUCGGCUAACUCCGUGCCAGCAGCCGCGGUAAUACGGAGGAUGCGAGCGUUAUCCGGAUUUAUUGGGUUUAAAGGGUGCGUAGGUGGCUAAUUAAGUCAGCGGUGAAAGUUUGUGGCUCAACCAUAAAAUUGCCGUUGAAACUGGUUAGCUUGAGUAUAUUUGAGGUAGGCGGAAUGCGUGGUGUAGCGGUGAAAUGCAUAGAUAUCACGCAGAACUCCGAUUGCGAAGGCAGCUUACUAAACUAUAACUGACACUGAAGCACGAAAGCGUGGGGAUCAAACAGGAUUAGAUACCCUGGUAGUCCACGCAGUAAACGAUGAUUACUAGCUGUUUGCGAUACACAGUAAGCGGCUCAGCGAAAGCGUUAAGUAAUCCACCUGGGGAGUACGCCGGCAACGGUGAAACUCAAAGGAAAAGACGGGGGCCCGCACAAGCGGAGGAACAUGUGGUUUAAUUCGAUGAUACGCGAGGAACCUUACCCGGGUUUGAACGCAUUCGGACCGGAGUGGAAACACUUCUUCUAGUAAUAGCCGUUUGCGAGGUGCUGCAUGGUUGUCGUCAGCUCGUGCCGUGAGGUGUCGGCUUAAGUGCCAUAACGAGCGCAACCCUUAUCACUAGUUACUAACAGGUCAUGCUGAGGACUCUAGUGAGACUGCCAGCGUAAGCUGUGAGGAAGGUGGGGAGGACGUCAAAUCAGCACGGCCCUUACAUCCGGGGCGACACACGUGUUACAAUGGUGGGGACAAAGGGCAGCUACCGUGUGAGCGGAUGCAAAUCUCCAAACCCCAUCUCAGUUCGGAUCGAAGUCUGCAACCCGACUUCGUGAAGCUGGAUUCGCUAGUAAUCGCGCAUCAGCCAUGGCGCGGUGAAUAAGAUCCCGGGCCUUGCACU